RNAcentral lists this ribosomal RNA (484 nucleotides) under uncultured bacterium. RNAcentral describes it as "bacterial SSU rRNA". It matches the Rfam family "Bacterial small subunit ribosomal RNA", at positions 501 to 981 of the family's 1533-position model. The record is from RNAcentral.
CUACGUGCCAGCAGCCGCGGUAAUACGUAGGGCGCGAGCGUUGUCCGGAAUUAUUGGGCGUAAAGAGCUUGUAGGCGGUUUGUCGCGUCUGCUGUGAAAGGCCGGGGCUUAACCCCGUGUAUUGCAGUGGGUACGGGCAGACUAGAGUGCAGUAGGGGAGACUGGAACUCCUGGUGUAGCGGUGGAAUGCGCAGAUAUCAGGAAGAACACCGAUGGCGAAGGCAGGUCUCUGGGCUGUAACUGACGCUGAGAAGCGAAAGCAUGGGGAGCGAACAGGAUUAGAUACCCUGGUAGUCCAUGCCGUAAACGUUGGGCACUAGGUGUGAGGGACAUUCCACGUUUUCCGCGCCGUAGCUAACGCAUUAAGUGCCCCGCCUGGGGAGUACGGCCGCAAGGCUAAAACUCAAAGAAAUUGACGGGGGCCCGCACAAGCGGCGGAGCAUGCGGAUUAAUUCGAUGCAACGCGAAGAACCUUACCAAGGCU